RNAcentral lists this long non-coding RNA (1392 nucleotides) under Mytilus galloprovincialis (Mediterranean mussel). The record is from RNAcentral. Lineage: Eukaryota; Metazoa; Mollusca; Bivalvia; Mytilida; Mytilidae.
UGUGUUUUUUCAUGCAACAUAUUUCUUCUGUAUUUUUUAUUAUUAUAUAAAUAUGUCAACAUCUGCUAUUUCCUCAAUUAUGAUGGGAACAUUAAAAGCUAUAAAGAGUAUUGUAUCAGGACAUUAAAAUACCAUCCUCUUCUUUCUACAAAACAUGUAUCCCAAAGCAUCAGUAUUUACAGAGUAACACAACACUUAUUUAGACUACAGGUGAUUUAUUUAGAGUUUUGGCAUCUUGUAUAUAGACACUAUAAAUGCUUAUUGUUGAUGACAAUGUGUUGACUUUAUAUGUCUUUUUAGUUUAUGGUGUGUUGGAGGAGUCCACAUUGUGAAGACUUUGUCAAAAGCAUGUAUUUUACAAAGAACAUAGUGUUAAAGUUAUGACAAUACAAACUUUAAGAUAAACUUAGUCAUGAUAUUUAUUUACAAAAUAUUACCUUCUCAUAACUAUUAAAUAUUGUAUUUUUUUUUUAUUUUUUCAUCAAAAUCACAUUUAUCAUGUUUGAAACAAGUUCUAUCCAUCUUAAUAAGCUCACAGGGAGAAAACUCCAGUUUGUUUUUUUUUAAUUUUUAAAUUAGAUGUCCACAUAUUUACACAAAGAAUCUAAACAUCAUCUGCAGUUUUAUAUUUAUUUCUUUUUUCUCUGGAGAGAGGAUUAUUUUUUGUGUAGACUCCAAACUGAUGCAUUUCCAUGCAGAUACAGCCAUUGUAAAUCUUACUUUGACAAUAGCCAGAAGUUGUACAAAGUAAAAAACAGAAACCACAAGAACUGAACAAUAAAUAACCUCAUAAAAACAACAAGAAUUGGCCCAAAUGUUAUGACUGAUCACUUCUUUGUUCUUGAUAAUCAAAUUUGACAUAGUAAUCAUUACUGAUGACAUAUAAUGCUCAGUAGGUAAUUAUAACUGUAUAAUAAAUGGUCUAACUAAGGUGUUAAACAAAAGUUUUAUACAUAUGUACGUAUUGUGUAUUACACAGUCAUUAUCUAUCUUUUAUCUUGUAUGUAAGAACUGCAAAAAAACAAUCACAUAUUUUAUUAUCUGCAUUGUUAUGUGUUUUUGUUAAUGAUUUUGGUAAACUGUUCAGGUUAUACAGACAACAUGUUUUGGUUUAAUAUAAGUAAAACCUUUCUUCAAAGUCAGCAGUUUGUUCUCCUUUGUGAUUACGUCAUGAUAAACACUUAGUACUAUGGUUUGCAAGUAAUUACUGAUUUUACACCAGAUGUUCUAAAGAAACACAGGAAAGUCAUUAUUGUUGUCUUUUUCUCACCAAAUACAUGUAUUGUCAUUAAAACUAUUUUCACUUUUGAAAUAUUACCUGUAGCACUCAAUCUAGUCUUAGUGUUUCACUCAGUCUUGAAAAAAAGAAAUUGAAGUAGAACUUUGAUUUCU